This 497-nucleotide ribosomal RNA is filed under the name uncultured bacterium. RNAcentral's name for it is "partial 16S ribosomal RNA". It matches the Rfam family "Bacterial small subunit ribosomal RNA", at positions 28 to 507 of the family's 1533-position model. The record is from RNAcentral.
GACGAACGCUGGCGGCGUGCCUAAUACAUGCAAGUUGAGCGCUGAAGGUUGGUACUUGUACCAACUGGAUGAGCAGCGAACGAGUGAGUAACGCGUGGGGAAUCUGCCUUUGAGCGGGGGACAACAUUUGGAAACGAAUGCUAAUACCGCAUAAAAACUUUAAACACAAGUUUUAAGUUUGAAAGAUGCAAUUGCAUCACUCAAAGAUGAUCCCGCGUUGUAUUAGCUAGUUGGUGAGGUAAAGGCUCACCAAGGCGAUGAUACAUAGCCGACCUGAGAGGGUGAUCGGCCACAUUGGGACUGAGACACGGCCCAAACUCCUACGGGAGGCAGCAGUAGGGAAUCUUCGGCAAUGGACGAAAGUCUGACCGAGCAACGCCGCGUGAGUGAAGAAGGGUUUCGGAUCGUAAAACUCUGUUGGUAGAGAAGAACGUUGGUGAGAGUGGAAAGCUCAUCAAGUGACGGUAACUACCCAGAAAGGGACGGCUAACUACGUG